UGUGAGCUCGAUGAGUAGGGCGGGACACGUGGUAUCCUGUCUGAAUAUGGGGGGACCAUCCUCCAAGGCUAAAUACUCCUGACUGACCGAUAGUGAACCAGUACCGUGAGGGAAAGGCGAAAAGAACCCCGGCGAGGGGAGUGAAAAAGAACCUGAAACCGUGUACGUACAAGCAGUGGGAGCCUCUUAAUGGGGUGACUGCGUACCUUUUGUAUAAUGGGUCAGCGACUUAUAUUCUGUAGCAAGGUUAACCGAAUAGGGGAGCCGAAGGGAAACCGAGUCUUAACUGGGCGUUAAGUUGCAGGGUAUAGACCCGAAACCCGGUGAUCUAGCCAUGGGCAGGUUGAAGGUUGGGUAACACUAACUGGAGGACCGAACCGACUAAUGUUGAAAAAUUAGCGGAUGACUUGUGGCUGGGGGUGAAAGGCCAAUCAAACCGGGAGAUAGCUGGUUCUCCCCGAAAGCUAUUUAGGUAGCGCCUCGUGAAUUCAUCUCCGGGGGUAGAGCACUGUUUCGGCAAGGGGGUCAUCCCGACUUACCAACCCGAUGCAAACUGCGAAUACCGGAGAAUGUUAUCACGGGAGACACACGGCGGGUGCUAACGUCCGUCGUGAAGAGGGAAACAACCCAGACCGCCAGCUAAGGUCCCAAAGUCAUGGUUAAGUGGGAAACGAUGUGGGAAGGCCCAGACAGCCAGGAUGUUGGCUUAGAAGCAGCCAUCAUUUAAAGAAAGCGUAAUAGCUCACUGGUCGAGUCGGCCUGCGCGGAAGAUGUAACGGGGCUAAACCAUGCACCGAAGCUGCGGCAGCGACACUAUGUGUUGUUGGGUAGGGGAGCGUUCUGUAAGCCUGUGAAGGUGGCCUGUGAGGGUUGCUGGAGGUAUCAGAAGUGCGAAUGCUGACAUAAGUAACGAUAAAGCGGGUGAAAAGCCCGCUCGCCGGAAGACCAAGGGUUCCUGUCCAACGUUAAUCGGGGCAGGGUGAGUCGACCCCUAAGGCGAGGCCGAAAGGCGUAGUCGAUGGGAAACAGGUUAAUAUUCCUGUACUUGGUGUUACUGCGAAGGGGGGACGGAGAAGGCUAUGUUGGCCGGGCGACGGUUGUCCCGGUUUAAGCGUGUAGGCUGGUUUUCCAGGCAAAUCCGGAAAACCAAGGCUGAGGCGUGAUGACGAGGCACUACGGUGCUGAAGCGACAAAUGCCCUGCUUCCAGGAAAAGCCUCUAAGCAUCAGGUAACAUCAAAUCGUACCCCAAACCGACACAGGUGGUCAGGUAGAGAAUACCAAGGCGCUUGAGAGAACUCGGGUGAAGGAACUAGGCAAAAUGGUGCCGUAACUUCGGGAGAAGGCACGCUGAUAUGUAGGUGAAGCGACUUGCUCGUGGAGCUGAAAUCAGUCGAAGAUACCAGCUGGCUGCAACUGUUUAUUAAAAACACAGCACUGUGCAAACACGAAAGUGGACGUAUACGGUGUGACGCCUGCCCGGUGCCGGAAGGUUAAUUGAUGGGGUUAGCGGUAACGCGAAGCUCUUGAUCGAAGCCCCGGUAAACGGCGGCCGUAACUAUAACGGUCCUAAGGUAGCGAAAUUCCUUGUCGGGUAAGUUCCGACCUGCACGAAUGGCGUAAUGAUGGCCAGGCUGUCUCCACCCGAGACUCAGUGAAAUUGAACUCGCUGUGAAGAUGCAGUGUACCCGCGGCAAGACGGAAAGACCCCGUGAACCUUUACUAUAGCUUGACACUGAACAUUGAGCCUUGAUGUGUAGGAUAGGUGGGAGGCUUUGAAGUGUGGACGCCAGUCUGCAUGGAGCCGACCUUGAAAUACCACCCUUUAAUGUUUGAUGUUCUAACGUUGGCCCGUAAUCCGGGUUGCGGACAGUGUCUGGUGGGUAGUUUGACUGGGGCGGUCUCCUCCUAAAGAGUAACGGAGGAGCACGAAGGUUGGCUAAUCCUGGUCGGACAUCAGGAGGUUAGUGCAAUGGCAUAAGCCAGCUUGACUGCGAGCGUGACGGCGCGAGCAGGUGCGAAAGCAGGUCAUAGUGAUCCGGUGGUUCUGAAUGGAAGGGCCAUCGCUCAACGGAUAAAAGGUACUCCGGGGAUAACAGGCUGAUACCGCCCAAGAGUUCAUAUCGACGGCGGUGUUUGGCACCUCGAUGUCGGCUCAUCACAUCCUGGGGCUGAAGUAGGUCCCAAGGGUAUGGCUGUUCGCCAUUUAAAGUGGUACGCGAGCUGGGUUUAGAACGUCGUGAGACAGUUCGGUCCCUAUCUGCCGUGGGCGCUGGAGAACUGAGGGGGGCUGCUCCUAGUACGAGAGGACCGGAGUGGACGCAUCACUGGUGUUCGGGUUGUCAUGCCAAUGGCACUGCCCGGUAGCUAAAUGCGGAAGAGAUAAGUGCUGAAAGCAUCUAAGCACGAAACUUGCCCCGAGAUGAGUUCUCCCUGACUCCUUGAGGGUCCUGAAGGAACGUUGAAGACGACGACGUUGAUAGGCCGGGUGUGUAAGCGCAGCGAUGCGUUGAGCUAACCGGUACUAAUGAACCGUGAGGCUUAACCUU
Molecule: ribosomal RNA, 2547 nt
Filed under: Escherichia coli
Lineage: Bacteria; Pseudomonadati; Pseudomonadota; Gammaproteobacteria; Enterobacterales; Enterobacteriaceae
Also listed under: 1 other name
Description: partial 23S ribosomal RNA
Rfam family: Bacterial large subunit ribosomal RNA
Source: RNAcentral